UUUCUUUUCUUUUCUUUUGCAAAUAUUCUAAUAUAGAAUUAAAGCUACCGGUCACCUAAUAUGAUGCUACCAUCUCUUCUACAUCUAUUGUGGCUAUCAUUGUCGUGUCUAGAAGCUUUGAAGAACCCCAUUGCCAAUAUAUUAGUCACUGUUUUUUGAUUAAUCAACAUCUGAAGAUCUUUUAUUUUUUAAUAGAUCUAC
Molecule: long non-coding RNA, 201 nt
Filed under: Elaeis guineensis (African oil palm)
Lineage: Eukaryota; Viridiplantae; Streptophyta; Magnoliopsida; Arecales; Arecaceae
Description: long non-coding RNA (EGUI_LNC004189)
Source: RNAcentral